Molecule: long non-coding RNA, 1059 nt
Filed under: Medicago truncatula (barrel medic)
Lineage: Eukaryota; Viridiplantae; Streptophyta; Magnoliopsida; Fabales; Fabaceae
Description: long non-coding RNA (MTRU_LNC001987)
Source: RNAcentral
CAUAAGAAGCUAUGUAAGGUCCAUUGGAUUCUUGUUGUUUGGCUUCAUAUUUACCAUAUUGAGUAAUGUAAGGUCCAUUGGUUUCCAAUUGUUUGGCUUCAUGUUUACCAUAGGCAGUUAUGUAAGGUUCAUUGGAUUCAUGGGUAUGGGUCUUGUACCCGGUAGUGUAAUCUGGGUUCUUGGCUUCAUGUUUACCAUAUUGAGUUAUGUAAGGUCCAUUGGAAUCCGGUUGUUUGACUUCAUGUCUACCAUGGGCAGUUAUGUAAGGUUCAUUGGAUUCAUGGGUAUGGGUUUUGUACCCAGUAGUGUAAUCUUGGUUCUUGGCUUCAUGUUUACCAUAUUGAGUUAUGUAAGGUCCAUUGGAUUCUGAUUGUUUGGCGUCAUGAUUACCAUAGGCACUUAUGUAAGGUCCUUUGGCCUCAUGGGUAUGGGUCUUGUACCGGGUAGUGUAAUCUGGGUUCUUGGCUUCAUGUGUACCAUAUUGAGUUAUGUAAGGUCUAUUGGAAUUCGGUUGUUUGGCUUGAUGUCUACCAUAGGGAGUUAUGUAACGUUCAUUAGAUUCAUGAGUAUGAGUAUUGUACCCGGUAGUGUAAUCUGGGUUCUUGUCUUCAUGUUUACCAUAUUGAGUUAUGUAAGGUCCAUUGGAAUCUAGUUGUUUGGUUUCAUGUCUAUUGUAGGAAGUUAUGUAAGGUCCAUUGGAUUCAUGAGUAUAAGUUUUGUACCCGGUAGUGUAAUCUGCGUCCUUGGCUACAUGUUUACCAUAUUGAGUUAUGUAAGGUCCAUUGGAAUCUGGUUGUUUGGCUUCAUGUCUACCAUAGGCAGUUAUGUAAGGUCCAUUGGAUUCAUGGGUAUGGGUCUUGUACCCGGUAGUGUAAUCUGGGUUCCUGGCUUCGUGUUUGAAAUAUUGAGUUAUGUAAGGUGCAUUGGAAUCCGGUUGUUUAGAUUCAUGUCUACCAUAGGUUGUUAUGUAAGGUUCAUUGGAUUCAUGGGUAUGGGUCUUGUACCCGGUAGUGUAACCUGGAUUCUUGGCUUCAUGUUUACUAUAUUGAGUUAUGUAAG